UCUUUUCCUCGUGUGCCAGCCGCCGCGGUAAUACGUAUGGUGCAAGCGUUAUCCGGAUUUACUGGGUGUAAAGGGUGAGUAGGCGGUCAUGCAAGUCAUAUGUGAAAUGUCAGGGCUUAACCUUGGCGCUGCAUAAGAAACUGUAUGACUAGAGUGCAGGAGAGGUAAGCGGAAUUCCUAGUGUAGCGGUGAAAUGCGUAGAUAUUAGGAAGAACACCGGUGGCGAAGGCGGCUUACUGGACUGUUACUGACGCUGAGUCACGAAAGCGUGGGGAGCAAACAGG
This 284-nucleotide ribosomal RNA is filed under the name [Clostridium] colinum. RNAcentral's name for it is "partial 16S ribosomal RNA". It matches the Rfam family "Bacterial small subunit ribosomal RNA", at positions 493 to 776 of the family's 1533-position model. The record is from RNAcentral. Lineage: Bacteria; Bacillati; Bacillota; Clostridia; Lachnospirales; Lachnospiraceae.